GGAUGAACGCUGGCGGCGUGUUUAACACAUGCAAGUCGAGCGAGAAGCUCAUCAGCAGAUUCUUCGGAAAAAGCAGAUGAGCGGAAAGCGGCGGACGGGUGAGUAACGCGUAGGCAACCUGCCCUUUGCAGAGGGAUAGCCUCGGGAAACCGGGAUUAAAACCUCAUAAUGCACAGUUUUGACAUCAUAGCUGUGCCAAAGAUUUAUCGGCAAAGGAUGGGCCUGCGUCUGAUUAGUUAGUUGGUGGGGUAACGGCCUACCAAGGCAGUGAUCAGUAGCCGACCUGAGAGGGUGAUCGGCCACAUUGGAACUGAGACACGGUCCAAACUCCUACGGGAGGCAGCAGUGGAGAAUCUUGCACAAUGGGGGAAACCCUGAUGCAGCAACGCCGCGUGAAGGAAGAAGGCCCUUGGGUCGUAAACUUCUUUUCUAAGGGAAGAUAAUGACGGUACCUUAGGAACAAGUCCCGGCUAACUACGUGCCAGCAGCCGCGGUAAUACGCAGGGGGCGAGCGUUAUCCGGAAUUAUUGGGCGUAAAGAGUACGUAGGUGGUUUCCUAAGCAUGGGGUUUAAGGCAAUGGCUCAACUGUUGUUCGCCCUAUGAACUGGGUUACUUGAGUGCUGGAGGGGAAAGCGGAAUUCCUAGUGUAGCGGUGAAAUGCGUAGAUAUUAGGAGGAACACCAGUGGCGAAGGCGGCUUUCUGGACAGUAACUGACACUGAGGUACGAAAGUGUGGGGAGCAAACAGGAUUAGAUACCCUGGUAGUCCACACCGUAAACGAUGAGCACUAGGUGUCGGGUUCGCAAGAGCUCGGUGCCGCAGUUAACGCAUUAAGUGCUCCGCCUGGGGAGUACGUACGCAAGUAUGAAACUCAAAGGAAUUGACGGGGACCCGCACAAGCAGCGGAGCAUGUGGUUUAAUUCGAAGCAACGCGAAGAACCUUACCAGGACUUGACAUCCCUCUGACAGGCCAGAUAACGACGGCCUUUCUUCGGACAGAGGUGACAGGUGGUGCAUGGUUGUCGUCAGCUCGUGUCGUGAGAUGUUGGGUUAAGUCCCGCAACGAGCGCAACCCUUGUCUUUAGUUGCCAGCAUUCAGUUGGGCACUCUAGAGAGACUGCCGGGGAUAACUCGGAGGAAGGUGGGGAUGACGUCAAAUCAUCAUGCCCCUUAUGUUCUGGGCUACACACGUGCUACAAUGGUCGGUACAAAGAGUCGCGAGACCGUGAGGUGGAGCCAAUCUCAAAAACCGAUCCCAGUUCGGAUUGCAGGCUGCAACUCGCCUGCAUGAAGUCGGAGUUGCUAGUAAUCGUGGAUCAGAAUGCCACGGUGAAUGCGUUCCGGGUCU
This 1349-nucleotide ribosomal RNA is filed under the name uncultured bacterium. Its description in RNAcentral is "bacterial SSU rRNA". It matches the Rfam family "Bacterial small subunit ribosomal RNA", at positions 27 to 1381 of the family's 1533-position model. The record is from RNAcentral.